CCUCCCAAGGACACUUGUAGCCCGGAGCUGCUCAUGUCCUUGAUCCAGACAAAGUGUGCCGACGACGCCAUGACCCUGGUACUAAAGAAAGAGCUUGUUGCGCAUUUGAAGUGCACCAUCACGGGCCUGACCUUCUGGGACCCCAGCUGUGAGGCAGAGGACAGGGGUGACAAGUUUGUCUUGCGCAGUGCUUACUCCAGCUGUGGCAUGCAGGUGUCAGCAAGUAUGAUCAGCAAUGAGGCGGUGGUCAAUAUCCUGUCGAGCUCAUCACCACAGCGGGUGAGAUGGACAGUCACGUGCUAACCCACCUGGCCCAGGGGCUGCUGCUGGGCCGGGGCCUCUUCCUGGCCUGGGAGGGAGCAGGCCUCGGGAAACUCCUGGCAAGCCAUGUGUGUCUGGAAUGCCUCGGUCUCCCCUUCUGUAUGACCGGAGCAGGACUGCUGAGGGUGACGCUCUUGGUCUCUCAAGUCAGAGGGCUUAGCACAUACUGGCUGUGUGGCCUUGGGCAAGUCACUUUAGUUUUCUGGGCCCAAAGGUGGCCUAAGAAAGGACUCUGCGCCACAGGGUGCUUCUGGGCAGCCAAUGAGGUGCUGUGUGGAAGCUCUUCACACAGCCUGGCAGCUGGUGCCUCCUUGAUAAAUAUUAGUUUAAAAAAAAAAAAAA
RNAcentral lists this long non-coding RNA (663 nucleotides) under Homo sapiens (human). RNAcentral's name for it is "non-protein coding lnc-SH2D3C-2:2". The record is from RNAcentral. Lineage: Eukaryota; Metazoa; Chordata; Mammalia; Primates; Hominidae.